UCCGAUGCUAUUUCUAGAGAUAGAAGUUACUUCGGUACAUCGGUGACAGGUGGUGCAUGGUUGUCGUCAGCUCGUGUCGUGAGAUGUUGGGUUAAGUCCCGCAACGAGCGCGACCCCUAUUGUUAGUUGCCAUCAUUCAGUUGGGCACUCUAGCGAGACUGCCGGUAAUAAACCGGAGGAAGUGGGGAUGACGUCAAAUCAUCAUACCCCUUAUGACCUGGGCUACACACGUGCUACAAUGGUUGGUACAACGAGUUGCGAGUCGGUGACGGCGAGCUAAUCUCUUAAAGCCAAUCUCAGUUCGGAUUGUAGGCUGCAACUCGCCUACAUGAAGUCGGAAUCGCUAGUAAUCGCGGAUCAGCACGCCGCGGUCGAAUACGUUCCCGGGCCUU
Molecule: ribosomal RNA, 392 nt
Filed under: uncultured Streptococcus sp.
Lineage: Bacteria; Bacillati; Bacillota; Bacilli; Lactobacillales; Streptococcaceae
Description: bacterial SSU rRNA
Rfam family: Bacterial small subunit ribosomal RNA
Source: RNAcentral